Long non-coding RNA from Oreochromis aureus, 1934 nucleotides. RefSeq lists it as uncharacterized. Lineage: Eukaryota; Metazoa; Chordata; Actinopteri; Cichliformes; Cichlidae. The record is from RefSeq and is a predicted model, not a curated record. The transcript has 5 exons.
GACACUGUGAUGCCAUGGACAGACAGAGGGAACACAGAGAAGUGGGAGCAGGCAGGCACAGAACAGAAAUCUAACAAAUGGCAAACCUUAACAAAAGACAUAACCAGAAUAAACAAGAACAUAUAAUGAUAUAAGGAAACACAAAACACUGACUCGUCAGACUCAGGACCAUGACACAUGUUAAUCGAGAUAAUGCAACACAUAGACUUCGUCAAACAAAGAGAACCAGGAAUGAGGAAGACUGCAGUCCCAACAGUAAUGCAGCCUCACCUAAAAAAGUUAGAUGCCUUGUUGAUAGCUACGCUUGUAUAAAUUGGCAACCAGUUGAACUUCCUGAGGGGGAAACGCCAGCUUCUUUAGAGGAAAAGAAACACAUCCUGUUAACAAUUUUUAAUUCAGAAGGACCUGGAGCUGUGGAGAGAUCUGAUGUGGAUGACUUCAUGUGCCUCACAUAUAUUUCUCAGCGGCAGCUUAUCAACAGUUGUCCCUCACUUUCAGUAGCUGAAAUUCAGGAGCAGUGGCCAUUCUUGUUUACUCGGAAAGGUCUUUCGAACUUUUACAAACUCAGAGGCAUUGAUAUCAGUGAUUGCUUAAGUCAGGCCCUCAUAACCAAAGGCAGAAGGAUUAUUAACUAUUUCUCCAGCUAGAAGCUCAAAUGUAACCUUGGUAUAAGGACACUCAUCCAGCAGAUAGAAAGUGAGGGAGUUUUGACCAAAAACAAGGUUGGCACAGCAGCCAUACUUCUCAUGAUGAAGUAUUACAAGGAAGAUGAAGACUCCCUCUUUGUCUUAGCAGAUGAAACAUCUACCAGGAUGUCCCUUGAAGCAGAGAGCAACCUGCCAAUCACCCCAAGGCUGAUUAUACUUGGACAAAGUUCAAUGACCGCCACCUGCUGGAUGGUGAGUGCAGAGGGGCGUGUAAUUGUUGAGCUGGACAAAGAGAACACCUUUGCUGAUGCGAUGUCUUCUUUGGUUCAUUCUAUGUAUUGAACCUGGAAUACCAGGAGUCAGCGUGUGCAACAUUGGAACUGAUUCAGAGGUUUUUUGUAAGGAUAAAUCCUGAAGAGGGAACAAAAUGUACCUCCAAGGUCGGCACAAGCAGAAAGACUGGGACCACUGUGAAGAAAAAGGUUGUUCACAUUAACCCUCAUGUCACAACUUUCCUCCAGCGGCUUAUUGAAUUUGAGUGGAAAACUUCAAAUUAGAUGAUCCAUGGCCCAUGCUUUCUGGACAUUUACACAAGACGAACAACAAUGAAGACAAGCUCUCUCACCAUCUUACAAGAAGCUGUCUCUGUCCAAUAGGUUUUUUGAGUGCAACAGUUUUGAUUUUUUUUCUUUCUCUUACCCGAAAUUAUUUCAGCUACUUACUCUUUAAUUGUCACAUGUAUUGGCUCACUCUACACACACCACACACGCUCAUCCAUGUCCUUGUGGACCCUGCUUUGUGCAUUGAUUUGGUGGUGUGAGCCAGUAUUUUGGACAAAGUGUAUGAGGGGGUAGGGACUAAUAAGUGUAUACUUCUGCCUACUCCUUUUCAAACAAAAGAAUGGAAUUAUAUUUUGUAAUGAUUGUGAAUGCACAUGUUUGAAAUAAAAAUGAACUGAACUGAACUGAACUGUAUAAAGGCAGAAGUGUGGGGCUUGAUAUUGUAUUCAUUACAAUUCAGUUUAUUUGUAUGGUGCCAACAAAAUGAAUGCCAAGGUACUUCACAGUGUAGGUUUAAGAUCCUACAAAAUUUAACUAAGAAAACCCAACACUUGAGCAUAUGUUGUCUGUCAUGAUAUGGAUAUAUGACAUAAUAUCAUUAUUGUUUGUACAACCAUCUAAGAAAAUACAUGAGUUAAAUGGUUUAGUAAAAACAAAUGCUUCCUCAAUGAAAAUAUGUUUUCAGUUCUUUUCAGUUUUUGAUUUUGGAAAUGUGUAUUUCUACAGA